This 253-nucleotide ribosomal RNA is filed under the name uncultured bacterium. RNAcentral describes it as "partial 16S ribosomal RNA". It matches the Rfam family "Bacterial small subunit ribosomal RNA", at positions 524 to 776 of the family's 1533-position model. The record is from RNAcentral.
UACGUAGGGCGCAAGCGUUGUCCGGAAUUAUUGGGCGUAAAGAGCUCGUAGGUGGUUUGUCGCGUCCGCUGUGAAAACCCGAGGCUCAACCUCGGGCCUGCAGUGGGUACGGGCAGACUAGAGUGCGGUAGGGGAGACUGGAAUUCCUGGUGUAGCGGUGGAAUGCGCAGAUAUCGGGAGGAACACCAAUUGCGAAGGCAGCUCGCUGGGACGUUACUGACGCUGAGGUGCGAAAGCGUGGGGAGCAAACAGG